GAAGAGACCAUCAUCAUUGAGGUGACAU
This 28-nucleotide unclassified non-coding RNA is filed under the name Mus musculus (house mouse). RNAcentral describes it as "oocyte_clustered_small_RNA8438". Lineage: Eukaryota; Metazoa; Chordata; Mammalia; Rodentia; Muridae. The record is from RNAcentral.